This is a non-coding RNA of Acanthosepion pharaonis, 103 nucleotides long. The record is from the annotation of a GenBank genome assembly. NCBI's taxonomy places the organism in Eukaryota, Metazoa, Mollusca, Cephalopoda, Sepiida, Sepiidae.
CGACCACAUCACAUUAAAGCACCAGUUCUCGUAAGAUCACCGAAAUUAAGGAACUUCAAGCCUGGUAAGUAUCUAGAUGGGUGACCUCUUGAGAAUACCAGGU